CCGAGUGAGGGCCCUUUGGGUCCAACCUCCCACCCGUGUUUAUUUUACCUUGUUGCUUCGGCGGGCCCGCCUUUACUGGCCGCCGGGGGGCUCACGCCCCCGGGCCCGCGCCCGCCGAAGACACCCCCGAACUCUGUCUGAAGAUUGAAGUCUGAGUGAAAAUAUAAAUUAUUUA
Molecule: unclassified non-coding RNA, 175 nt
Filed under: uncultured fungus
Lineage: Eukaryota; Fungi
Description: sequence contains ITS1, 5.8S rRNA gene
Source: RNAcentral